UCCGUGCUGGUGCAAUGGUUAGCAUUCACGCCUAUCACUCAGGAGGCCCAGGUUCGAUUCCUGCUGCCGUCAAGUACGGA
Non-coding RNA from Perkinsus olseni, 80 nucleotides. The record is from the annotation of a GenBank genome assembly. NCBI's taxonomy places the organism in Eukaryota, Perkinsozoa, Perkinsida, Perkinsidae.